This 1933-nucleotide long non-coding RNA is filed under the name Lynx pardinus (Iberian lynx). The record is from RNAcentral. Lineage: Eukaryota; Metazoa; Chordata; Mammalia; Carnivora; Felidae.
UCCUGUUAAUCUCUUUGUGAUUUGAGCAGGUGGGUGAGAUUCCUAAUUUCCAUAAUUAUCUGUGCCUGGAGGUUUAGACAGGAAAGGAUCAUUGGUGUAGACUUGAAACAUGGUGUCCAUGAGUGGAGAGUGUACUCCAGGGGCCAUGGAAAAAACUUCCUUCUGACAGCUGGAGACAGACUUCUGUGUGGGUGGGUGGGGACAUAAUCCCUUUUAUCCUGGCUUUGGUUUGCUUAAUUACCUCUUUAGCAGUGCUGUUCAUGGCUGCAACAGGUGUCAGGCUUUGUAGGGCAGACGCUGAGAUCUGGCCCAAAUCUUUGGUCAUUCCUGUGGGGCUGUAGGACCUGUAGGGCCGUAGGACCUGUAGGGCCGUAGGACCUGUAGGGCUGGACCUUCGAUACCAUGAGGUCUUGUCCCCCAUUGCAGCCCCUUGUCCUGGGGAUGAGAGAUAAGGUAUGUUGUUUGUUUCUGAAAAAAGUCCAGAAACCAGUCAGGAAGGGCAGCCCCUCCUUCCAAAUCCAAAGAAGAAGCUACAAUGGAAGAAGUGGGGUGGAAGGCAGGGCACAGAGGAUGGAGACCAAUGGCAUUUGUCACUGCCUCAGAAAAUUGUCCUGGACAUUUGCAAGUCACAGGAAGUUUGCAGAAAAAAAAUACAAAACCCAGCUGGAUUCUUUUCAGUACCUUAGCCUGCAUAUUUUCUUGAGAUAGUGUGUGUUACACUACACUUUGAGAGAGCGUAGAAAUAUGGGAAGCUAUGAUAGCGGCAGUUGGGAUCCUGGGAUUUUAGAUUGCCCCUGACUGGUGGUGGUGGAAGCCUGUGGAAGUUGUUUCGGCUCCUGGGAUCUCCCCAGUUUUCUCCUCUAUUGGUCGGGGUGGGGAGAGCUGGUGGGCAGGGAUGAGGUGGUCUCCAUUCUAUGACUCACCGGCUGAGGCCUGACCACGUCUCACACACACAGCCAAAGAUGUUGAUUGCUCUCAGCAGGGUUACACUCUCUCCUCCCCUGCCUCCCCAGCGGGUUAUCAUGCUGACUCAACUAACACAACCCCCACCUGGACUCAGUCCAAACGCCAGAUGUGCCCCCGAUUAGUGUCGGUCUGGGGAAUGUUUCCAUGACUGAAAGGUCAAUGUCAGCUGGAAGUGCCCAGUGUGGGUGUCUGCCCCCCACCCAUGUCAGCUGGGAGAGCUGAAACUUCCAUUAUCUCACUGGCCAAGGAACUCAGCUGGGGCGGCAUGGGGCCCGGAGCCGGCCAAGUUCAGGAGGGCCUUGUUUUACUUGCCUUCCUUCUUUGCUCUCAGUUGAAGGACAGAGUGUGAUUUUCCACUUGGAAGAGACUCCAGGGGUGUGCAAAGAGGGAAGUCCUGCUGGUGUGUAACUGAAAACACUUUGUUCUCCUUUAGAUCUGCAAUGUGCUCAUGUCUCUUCUGAUUUUCUUAUGGCGGCCGUCACCUCCACUAUGGAAAGAAAAAUGAACGAUAAUGUUGUGAUGGGCCGGGCUGCCAUGUUUUACCCUAUUUACAGGUCAUUUUAAGCAUUGCUUCUACACUUCAGACGGGCUUUCAUGUUUAAUUUCAUUCGUGUAGGGCUAUGUGAGGCUUUCCUCUAGGUAGCAAUGAAAAUUAAACACAAUUGAGUUUGAUGUGUACCUUAUUGGUUCCAGACCCAUUUCAGUAGAGUGUGACACUUCAGCGACCUGCAAAUUCUACACAUCAGAGUUCCUAUUUUACACAAACCCCGUAUGCCCGAGACGUGGACUUGAGUCCCUCUCGGCAACAUCCAAUCCCAGUCAAGGACAUAGACCCUGUCAGAGGAUGAAAGGUCUUGAUGAAGAUGCAUUGCAGAUGAUAUUUAUGGUCAUCCCCCUAGGAAAACAAAAAUGAUUCAUGAAAAAUUUCAUGGAAGUCACACCAAAAAGAGAGUAACAAUUUUCUCAA